RNAcentral lists this ribosomal RNA (253 nucleotides) under uncultured Bacteroides sp. RNAcentral describes it as "partial 16S ribosomal RNA". It matches the Rfam family "Bacterial small subunit ribosomal RNA", at positions 524 to 776 of the family's 1533-position model. The record is from RNAcentral. Lineage: Bacteria; Pseudomonadati; Bacteroidota; Bacteroidia; Bacteroidales; Bacteroidaceae.
UACGGAGGAUCCGAGCGUUAUCCGGAUUUAUUGGGUUUAAAGGGAGCGUAGGUGGAUUGUUAAGUCAGUUGUGAAAGUUUGCGGCUCAACCGUAAAAUUGCAGUUGAAACUGGCAGUCUUGAGUACAGUAGAGGUGGGCGGAAUUCGUGGUGUAGCGGUGAAAUGCGUAGAGAUAUGGAGGAACACCAGUGGCGAAGGCGGCUUCCUGGUCUGCAACUGACACUGAGGCGCGAAAGCGUGGGGAGCAAACAGG